This 271-nucleotide ribosomal RNA is filed under the name uncultured archaeon. RNAcentral's name for it is "partial 16S ribosomal RNA". It matches the Rfam family "Archaeal small subunit ribosomal RNA", at positions 477 to 747 of the family's 1478-position model. The record is from RNAcentral.
CAGCGCCCCAAGUGGCAGCCGCGUUUAUUGGGCCUAAAGCGUUCGUAGCCGGUUAGAUAAAUCUUUUGUGAAAUUGUCAAGCUCAACUUGACACCGUGCAGAAGAAACUGUUUAACUAGGAACCGGGAGGAGUCAGAAGUAUUCCGGGGGGAGCGGUAAAAUGCUAUAAUCCUCGGAAGACUACCUGUGGCGAAGGCGUCUGACCAGAACGGAUUCGACGGUGAGGAACGAAAGCUAGGGGAGCAAAACGGAUUAGAUACCCGAGUAGUCC